AGAGUUUGAUCCUGGCUCAGAUUGAACGCUGGCGGCAGGCCUAACACAUGCAAGUCGAACGGUAGCACAGAGGAGCUUGCUCCUUGGGUGACGAGUGGCGGACGGGUGAGUAAUGUCUGGGAAACUGCCCGAUGGAGAGGGAUAACUACUGGAAACGGUAGCUAAUACCGCAUAACGUCGCAAGACCAAAGAGGGGGACCUUCGGGCCUCUUGCCAUCGGAUGUGCCCAGAUGGGAUUAGCUAGUAGGUGGGGUAACGGCUCACCAAGGCGACGAUCCCUAGCUGUUCUGAGAGGAUGAUCAGCCACACUGGGACUGAGACGCGGCCCAGACUCCUACGGGAGGCAGCAGUGGGGAAUAUUGCACAAUGGGGGAAACCCUGAUGCAGCCAUGCCGCGUGUGUGAAGAAGGCCUUCGGGUUGUAAAGCACUUUCAGUAGGGAGGAAAGGGUGAGUCUUAAUACGGCUCAUCUGUGACGUUACCUACAGAAGAAGGACCGGCUAACUCCGUGCCAGCAGCCGCGGUAAUACGGAGGGUCCGAGCGUUAAUCGGAAUUACUGGGCGUAAAGCGUGCGCAGGCGGUUUGUUAAGCGAGAUGUGAAAGCCCUGGGCUCAACCUAGGAAUAGCAUUUCGAACUGGCGAACUAGAGUCUUGUAGAGGGGGGUAGAAUUCCAGGUGUAGCGGUGAAAUGCGUAGAGAUCUGGAGGAAUACCGGUGGCGAAGGCGGCCCCCUG
Molecule: ribosomal RNA, 734 nt
Filed under: uncultured bacterium
Lineage: Bacteria
Description: bacterial SSU rRNA
Rfam family: Bacterial small subunit ribosomal RNA
Source: RNAcentral